CAAGGCUGAGGCGUGAUGACGAGGCACUACGGUGCUGAAGCAACAAAUGCCCUGCUUCCAGGAAAAGCCUCUAAGCAUCAGGUAACAUCAAAUCGUACCCCAAACCGACACAGGUGGUCAGGUAGAGAAUACCAAGGCGCUUGAGAGAACUCGGGUGAAGGAACUAGGCAAAAUGGUGCCGUAACUUCGGGAGAAGGCACGCUGAUAUGUAGGUGAAGUCCCUCGCGGAUGGAGCUGAAAUCAGUCGAAGAUACCAGCUGGCUGCAACUGUUUAUUAAAAACACAGCACUGUGCAAACACGAAAGUGGACGUAUACGGUGUGACGCCUGCCCGGUGCCGGAAGGUUAAUUGAUGGGGUCAGCGCAAGCGAAGCUCUUGAUCGAAGCCCCGGUAAACGGCGGCCGUAACUAUAACGGUCCUAAGGUAGCGAAAUUCCUUGUCGGGUAAGUUCCGACCUGCACGAAUGGCGUAAUGAUGGCCAGGCUGUCUCCACCCGAGACUCAGUGAAAUUGAACUCGCUGUGAAGAUGCAGUGUACCCGCGGCAAGACGGAAAGACCCCGUGAACCUUUACUAUAGCUUGACACUGAACAUUGAGCCUUGAUGUGUAGGAUAGGUGGGAGGCUUUGAAGUGUGGACGCCAGUCUGCAUGGAGCCGACCUUGAAAUACCACCCUUUAAUGUUUGAUGUUCUAACGUGGACCCGUGAUCCGGGUUGCGGACAGUGUCUGGUGGGUAGUUUGACUGGGGCGGUCUCCUCCUAAAGAGUAACGGAGGAGCACGAAGGUUGGCUAAUCCUGGUCGGACAUCAGGAGGUUAGUGCAAUGGCAUAAGCCAGCUUGACUGCGAGCGUGACGGCGCGAGCAGGUGCGAAAGCAGGUCAUAGUGAUCCGGUGGUUCUGAAUGGAAGGGCCAUCGCUCAACGGAUAAAAGGUACUCCGGGGAUAACAGGCUGAUACCGCCCAAGAGUUCAUAUCGACGGCGGUGUUUGGCACCUCGAUGUCGGCUCAUCACAUCCUGGGGCUGAAGUAGGUCCCAAGGGUAUGGCUGUUCGCCAUUUAAAGUGGUACGCGAGCUGGGUUUAGAACGUCGUGAGACAGUUCGGUCCCUAUCUGCCGUGGGCGCUGGAGAACUGAGGGGGGCUGCUCCUAGUACGAGAGGACCGGAGUGGACGCAUCACUGGUGUUCGGGUUGUCAUGCCAAUGGCACUGCCCGGUAGCUAAAUGCGGAAGAGAUAAGUGCUGAAAGCAUCUAAGCACGAAACUUGCCCCGAGAUGAGUUCUCCCUGACCCUUUAAGGGUCCUGAAGGAACGUUGAAGACGACGACGUUGAUAGGCCGGGUGUGUAAGCGCAGCGAUGCGUUGAGCUAACCGGUACUAAUGAACCGUGAGGCUUAACCUUACAACGCCGAAGGUGUUU
Molecule: ribosomal RNA, 1416 nt
Filed under: Escherichia coli
Lineage: Bacteria; Pseudomonadati; Pseudomonadota; Gammaproteobacteria; Enterobacterales; Enterobacteriaceae
Description: partial 23S ribosomal RNA
Rfam family: Bacterial large subunit ribosomal RNA
Source: RNAcentral